AUAACCGGCGAUUUCCGAAUGGGGAAACCCAGUGUGAUUCGUCACACUAUCAUUAACUGAAUCCAUAGGUUAAUGAGGCGAACCGGGGGAACUGAAACAUCUAAGUACCCCGAGGAAAAGAAAUCAACCGAGAUUCCCCCAGUAGCGGCGAGCGAACGGGGAGCAGCCCAGAGCCUGAAUCAGUGUGUGUGUUAGUGGAAGCGUCUGGAAAGGCGCGCGAUACAGGGUGACAGCCCCGUACACAAAAAUKCACAUGCUGUGAGCUCGAUGAGUAGGGCGGGACACGUGGUAUCCUGUCUGAAUAUGGGGGGACCAUCCUCCAAGGCUAAAUACUCCUGACUGACCGAUAGUGAACCAGUACCGUGAGGGAAAGGCGAAAAGAACCCCGGCGAGGGGAGUGAAAAAGAACCUGAAACCGUGUACGUACAAGCAGUGGGAGCACGCUUAGGCGUGUGACUGCGUACCUUUUGUAUAAUGGGUCAGCGACUUAUAUUCUGUAGCAAGGUUAACCGAAUAGGGGAGCCGAAGGGAAACCGAGUCUUAACUGGGCGUUAAGUUGCAGGGUAUAGACCCGAAACCCGGUGAUCUAGCCAUGGGCAGGUUGAAGGUUGGGUAACACUAACUGGAGGACCGAACCGACUAAUGUUGAAAAAUUAGCGGAUGACUUGUGGCUGGGGGUGAAAGGCCAAUCAAACCGGGAGAUAGCUGGUUCUCCCCGAAAGCUAUUUAGGUAGCGCCUCGUGAAUUCAUCUCCGGGGGUAGAGCACUGUUUCGGCAAGGGGGUCAUCCCGACUUACCAACCCGAUGCAAACUGCGAAUACCGGAGAAUGUUAUCACGGGAGACACACGGCGGGUGCUAACGUCCGUCGUGAAGAGGGAAACAACCCAGACCGCCAGCUAAGGUCCCAAAGUCAUGGUUAAGUGGGAAACGAUGUGGGAAGGCCCAGACAGCCAGGAUGUUGGCUUAGAAGCAGCCAUCAUUUAAAGAAAGCGUAAUAGCUCACUGGUCGAGUCGGCCUGCGCGGAAGAUGUAACGGGGCUAAACCAUGCACCGAAGCUGCGGCAGCGACGCUUAUGCGUUGUUGGGUAGGGGAGCGUUCUGUAAGCCUGUGAAGGUGUGCUGUGAGGCAUGCUGGAGGUAUCAGAAGUGCGAAUGCUGACAUAAGUAACGAUAAAGCGGGUGAAAAGCCCGCUCGCCGGAAGACCAAGGGUUCCUGUCCAACGUUAAUCGGGGCAGGGUGAGUCGACCCCUAAGGCGAGGCCGAAAGGCGUAGUCGAUGGGAAACAGGUUAAUAUUCCUGUACUUGGUGUUACUGCGAAGGGGGGACGGAGAAGGCUAUGUUGGCCGGGCGACGGUUGUCCCGGUUUAAGCGUGUAGGCUGGUUUUCCAGGCAAAUCCGGAAAAUCAAGGCUGAGGCGUGAUGACGAGGCACUACGGUGCUGAAGCAACAAAUGCCCUGCUUCCAGGAAAAGCCUCUAAGCAUCAGGUAACAUCAAAUCGUACCCCAAACCGACACAGGUGGUCAGGUAGAGAAUACCAAGGCGCUUGAGAGAACUCGGGUGAAGGAACUAGGCAAAAUGGUGCCGUAACUUCGGGAGAAGGCACGCUGAUAUGUAGGUGAAGUCCCUCGCGGAUGGAGCUGAAAUCAGUCGAAGAUACCAGCUGGCUGCAACUGUUUAUUAAAAACACAGCACUGUGCAAACACGAAAGUGGACGUAUACGGUGUGACGCCUGCCCGGUGCCGGAAGGUUAAUUGAUGGGGUCAGCGCAAGCGAAGCUCUUGAUCGAAGCCCCGGUAAACGGCGGCCGUAACUAUAACGGUCCUAAGGUAGCGAAAUUCCUUGUCGGGUAAGUUCCGACCUGCACGAAUGGCGUAAUGAUGGCCAGGCUGUCUCCACCCGAGACUCAGUGAAAUUGAACUCGCUGUGAAGAUGCAGUGUACCCGCGGCAAGACGGAAAGACCCCGUGAACCUUUACUAUAGCUUGACACUGAACAUUGAGCCUUGAUGUGUAGGAUAGGUGGGAGGCUUAGAAGUGUGGACGCCAGUCUGCAUGGAGCCGACCUUGAAAUACCACCCUUUAAUGUUUGAUGUUCUAACGUUGACCCGUAAUCCGGGUUGCGGACAGUGUCUGGUGGGUAGUUUGACUGGGGCGGUCUCCUCCUAAAGAGUAACGGAGGAGCACGAAGGUUGGCUAAUCCUGGUCGGACAUCAGGAGGUUAGUGCAAUGGCAUAAGCCAGCUUGACUGCGAGCGUGACGGCGCGAGCAGGUGCGAAAGCAGGUCAUAGUGAUCCGGUGGUUCUGAAUGGAAGGGCCAUCGCUCAACGGAUAAAAGGUACUCCGGGGAUAACAGGCUGAUACCGCCCAAGAGUUCAUAUCGACGGCGGUGUUUGGCACCUCGAUGUCGGCUCAUCACAUCCUGGGGCUGAAGUAGGUCCCAAGGGUAUGGCUGUUCGCCAUUUAAAGUGGUACGCGAGCUGGGUUUAGAACGUCGUGAGACAGUUCGGUCCCUAUCUGCCGUGGGCGCUGGAGAACUGAGGGGGGCUGCUCCUAGUACGAGAGGACCGGAGUGGACGCAUCACUGGUGUUCGGGUUGUCAUGCCAAUGGCACUGCCCGGUAGCUAAAUGCGGAAGAGAUAAGUGCUGAAAGCAUCUAAGCACGAAACUUGCCCCGAGAUGAGUUCUCCCUGACUCCUUGAGAGUCCUGAAGGAACGUUGAAGACGACGACGUUGAUAGGCCGGGUGUGUAAGCGCAGCGAUGCGUUGAGCUAACCGGUACUAAUGAACCGUGAGGCUUAACCUUACAACGCCGAAGCUGUU
Molecule: ribosomal RNA, 2821 nt
Filed under: Escherichia coli
Lineage: Bacteria; Pseudomonadati; Pseudomonadota; Gammaproteobacteria; Enterobacterales; Enterobacteriaceae
Description: partial 23S ribosomal RNA
Rfam family: Bacterial large subunit ribosomal RNA
Source: RNAcentral